AUAUUUGUGCCAGCCAGCUGAGAAUAAGCAAAACAUUUUAAAGGCACCAAAGGCACCAACAGAGUUCAUAUAUAUUGGACAGUGUGCAACAAUAUCUGGGAAACAGAGAAUGAAAUCUAGAUAUAAAAAUAGAUGCCAUUUAGCCUGCGCAUGCACAAUUCUCAAUUCAGGAGCAGUCCUUAUUCCAAUAUAUUAUGCAAAACUGUUUUCACCUUUGAUUAUAGAUAAAAGAUGUGGAUAUAUAUUUAAGUUUGUGAAUAACAUAUGGCUCAUUAACUUGCAUUAAUCUUUACUGUGGUAUUUUAAAGAACUGAGGCUUACAUGUCUGUCCAUCUGUCAGAUUCCUUUCCCAUUCUCUUCUUAUUAGCCUUUGAACCUCUUCAUUGAUUUCUACAACACUGAAAAGAAGAUAAAUUAAGAAAGAUAAUCAAUUCCAUGUUAUGAAAAUUGGCAGCCAAUUAGAGGGAAGGGACCCAUACUACGGCCUCCUCUCAGGUCUGGCUCGUGGAAAGCAUUGUAGCAUUAAAAUGCUCCACUUGUGGUAUGCAGUGACCUUGGAUUUUGACUCAUGCUCACCCUCAGGAGGUGCUCACUUAAACAAACAUCACUGCUUUGAAAAAAUCCCCCAACCUCAAGAAGAUUAAAUAAAUGAUAAUUAGAUUUCAUUUUUUGUAUAUACAUAAGCUUCAACUAUUCAUACACUUCUGCCUAAAGCAAUGAAUUAGAGAUACUAAAAGGCUGAUUAAAGCAGUAACAUGUUCUGUGUUUGAACAAGUGAGAUUUAUUGAUCAAAGUUGACAACUGCCCUAUGAUCUCCAGGGUGUUUCAUGCUAAAAUGUGUACAUUUGAAGACACAGUAAGAUAACUUCUUUAUUUUCCAAACAUUAAGCAAACUACGAACCCAAUAAAAACACUUCUGUUAAGAAUGUUGAAGUGUCAAGAAGAGAAAGUGAGACAGACAGACAGUAAGGUUUUUAAGUGCUGACUUAGGACAGAAGUUACAUACAUUGACUUGGUAUAUAUUGGUAUACCUAAUAAGGAAUUAAUCUGCCUCUUCAUUUGCUGUCUAGAGGACUGGUAGCCUGAUGGAAAGCAGAGGGCCUCUUGGGUUCUUCUGGUGGGUUCAUUCAUGGAAUAUUAACAAUGUCUUUGGGCUUCUGCUUCAUAGUGGCACUGAGGGGCAGUUCCCCAGGAGGGAUAUUUGGAGACUUUUCAUGGAGCUGCAGCAUGCUCAGGGCUAACUUCAGGGUGCACCAGCAACCAUGAACAGCAGUCCAUCUUUUGUGGACUAGGACUCUAGGACCUUGCCCUUCUUGCUAGAUCCAGAGUAAAGAUGCAUGAGAGAAUAAUCACUGGGAACUGAGGCUUUGGGGAACUGUAGCUUUUCCCCCACAUUUUGUUUGGGAGUAACCAAAUUGCUAGAUAGUGUCUAGUUGUAUCAGGGAGCCCCCAAGCGUCUUCAGAUCAGUGAAGACACAGGCAGAAAAAAAGCAGAGGAACCCUGUUUAAAAAUAUGACAAUGAAGAGAAAUUACCAGUCACGUGGGUUCAGUAAACUCAUGACACACGUGCCAGAAGUGACAGACAGGUUUGGGAUGGUGUGCAGCAGGGCUGGCCAAGGACUGCAGCUCCUGGAAAACAAGCAUUCCUAGCCCUAGCUGCCACAGCUCAGACGUGCGGGAGCUCGAAAGCCCUGCCUCAUAUAGAAGCAAGGUAAUAUCUUGCCACUGAUCAGCAACAGCUCUAGAAUUCUAAGCGGGGCUGGUUCCUGUAGUGUUUCUGCUGGCAAAUAAACUCUCAUUAGGGAAUGAGGUAACAUGCAGGCUGACACUACCUGGAAGACUGCUGACCCCUGGCACCCAGCACUGCGCUCA
This 1873-nucleotide long non-coding RNA is filed under the name Pavo cristatus (Indian peafowl). Its description in RNAcentral is "lncRNA (ENSPSTG00000006570.1)". Lineage: Eukaryota; Metazoa; Chordata; Aves; Galliformes; Phasianidae. The record is from RNAcentral.